Molecule: ribosomal RNA, 1440 nt
Filed under: metagenome
Description: bacterial LSU rRNA
Rfam family: Bacterial large subunit ribosomal RNA
Source: RNAcentral
UAGAACCGUGGUAAGCGCGUAGGAGGAGGACCAGGUAAAUCCGGGCCUCAUAAACUCUGAGACGUGAUACCGAGCCGCUUCAGGCGAAGUCAUUGAUCCUAUGCUGCCUAGAAAAGCCCAGCAGCGAGUUGACAUGGUGCCCGUACCCCAAACCAACACAGGUGGACAGGUAGAGCAUACCAAGGCGAGUGGGAUAACUAUGGUUAAGGAGCUCGGCAAAUUGCCUCCGUAACUUCGGGAGAAGGAGGACCCCAGUAGCGUGAUGAGACUUGCUCUCUGAGCGUGAAGGGGUGGCACAAAAUUGAGGGAAGCGACUGUUUACCAAAAACACAGCAGCGUGCUAAGCCGUAAGGCGCUGUAUACGCUGUGACUCCUGCCCCUGCUGGAAGGUUACGGGGAUGGGUUAGUCCUUCGGGACGAAGCUCUGAACCUAAGCCCCAGUAAACGGCGGCCGUAACUAUAACGGUCCUAAGGUAGCGAAAUUCCUUGUCGGGUAAGUUCCGACCUGCACGAAUGGAGUAACGACUUCCCUACUGCCUCAACCAUAGACCCAGCGAAAUUGAAGUACGAGUAAAGAUGCUCGUUAGCUGCAGAAGGACGGAAAGACCCCGUGGACCUUUACUAUAACUUGAUGUUGUGUUUUGUCAUAUGUUGUGUAGGAUAGGUGGGAGACUUGGAAGCAUGGACGCUAGUCUGUGUGGAGUCAUCGUUGAAAUACCACCCUGCAUAUGGUGAGGCUCUAACCUAGACCCGUUAUCCGGGUUGGGGACAGCGUCAGGCGGGUAGUUUAACUGGGGCGGUUGCCUCCUAAAGAGUAACGGAGGCGCCCAAAGGUUCCCUCAGCCUGGUUGGCAAUCAGGCGUUGAGUGCAAUGGCAAAAGGGAGCUUGACUGCGAGACCUACAAGUCGAGCAGGAGCGAAAGCUGGGCAUAGUGAUCCGGCGGUUUGCGUGUGGAAGCGCCGUCGCUCAACGGAUAAAAGGUACCCCGGGGAUAACAGGCUAAUCUUGCCCAAGCGUCCAUAGCGACGGCAAGGUUUGGCACCUCGAUGUCGGCUCAUCGCAUCCUGGGGCUGAAGCAGGUCCCAAGGGUUGGGCUGUUCGCCCAUUAAAGCGGUACGCGAGCUGGGUUCAGAACGUCGUGAGACAGUUCGGUCCCUAUCCUCUGCAGCCGGAGGUGAAUUGAGGAAAGCUGUCCCUAGUACGAGAGGACCGGGACGGACGCAGCUCUCGUGUGCCAGUUGUCCUGCCAAGGGCAUGGCUGGUUAGCGACCUGCGGAAAGGAUAACCGCUGAAAGCAUCUAAGCGGGAAGCCUCUUCCAAGAUGAAUUCACCCACAGGGUUAACCUGGUAAGGCCCGUGGUAGACCACCACGUUGAUAGGCCGGAAGUGUAAGCGUGGCAACACGUUCAGCUGACCGGUACUAAUCGGCCGAGGGCUUG